UACGUAGGGUGCAAGCGUUGUCCGGAAUUAUUGGGCGUAAAGAGCUCGUAGGCGGUUUGUCGCGUCUGCUGUGAAAACCCGAGGCUCAACCUCGGGCCUGCAGUGGGUACGGGCAGACUAGAGUGCGGUAGGGAGAUUGGAAUUCCUGGUGUAGCGGUGGAAUGCGCAGAUAUCAGGAGGAACACCGGUGGCGAAGGCGGGUCUCUGGGCCGUAACUGACGCUGAGGAGCGAAAGCGUGGGGAGCGAACAGG
RNAcentral lists this ribosomal RNA (252 nucleotides) under uncultured bacterium. RNAcentral describes it as "partial 16S ribosomal RNA". It matches the Rfam family "Bacterial small subunit ribosomal RNA", at positions 524 to 776 of the family's 1533-position model. The record is from RNAcentral.